GGGGCUGUAGCUUAGUAGUAGAGUGCUCACCUCGCAUGUGUGAGGCUCUGGGUUUGAUCCUCAGCACCA
This 69-nucleotide transfer RNA is filed under the name Urocitellus parryii (Arctic ground squirrel). RNAcentral's name for it is "Spermophilus parryii (Arctic ground squirrel) tRNA". It matches the Rfam family "tRNA". From Rfam's summary of the family: Transfer RNA (tRNA) molecules are approximately 80 nucleotides in length. Their secondary structure includes four short double-helical elements and three loops (D, anti-codon, and T loops). The record is from Rfam by way of RNAcentral. RNAcentral also lists the same sequence under 2 other names. Lineage: Eukaryota; Metazoa; Chordata; Mammalia; Rodentia; Sciuridae.